GCAUUUUCACCAAAAAAGGUAAUUGAAGCUUUUAAUAAUUCCUUAUAUGUGAAAACCCAAUGUUGAAGCUUCAUUCAGAAUUACAGCGCUACCUCGACCAGAAUUUUCAAAUCUUUUCAAACUCCGAUGCCAGUGUUAAUGGACAGAGAUUUACGACUUCACGGUUCAAAUCUUGUUUACUAUUAGUUUGCAAAAGUUGAACCUAUGUUUUCGAGAAGAUAUCCGCAGAAAGUGUUUCCGUAUUUCAGUCGAAAAGGCUACAACGUGAGAGAUGCGGUUAUCUGCGAGAGAAUUAAACUGUAUUAAAGCAUAACGACUCAUUCUGCCGCAAAAACGUCAUCCACAGUGAUUAAACUGUUUACGUAAGAUGGACCAUUCGGCAAGUUUAUCUGUCAUCGUUUGGUCAGAUUGUACUGCUCGCUUUAUCGUGUCCACGAUUCGUCAUCGUCCGCAACUGACAAACUACCAGUGACACGAACAAGAGCGUACGCGUUGAUAAUACAGGCACAAUCCAUAAUAACAUAAUCGGAACAGAAAGAAGAAAGCGUUAAAAAUGAAACCUGAAGCAGUCUUUUUAUUACAUUAGAAAAAUGGAUAAAACGGAGAUGAGUGAUAAUAUAAUUCUCGCAUAUUCGACAAUCAGAAAAGACUAAAUAUUAUAAGGAAGAAUAAUGGAAAACUAACGCAUAUAGACUUCCUACUGAAAUGUGUGGCGGAAACUGCUGGAUUACAUCCAAUUGAAGAUAUACAUAAAUUCAUCGCAAACAACAUCAUUCAGUUGGCAAACUACAACCAAGGCUACACGUUUAUUACGAAAGCAUUUACCAGAUUAUACAUGUACUAAGCCACGUUGCUCUGUUUAAAAAGUAAUAUUCUAAAAGAAUUUAGGUAUUGGUGUUUAACAUGCGAAGUAUAUAAUCAUUUCACGUAUCAUUUUUUAAGCAAUAUCAUUCUGAAAGAAUAGAUUCAAUUUUUUAAUUAUUUUUAUUUCUUUUCAAGCAUAAAUUAGAAAAAUAUAAAUCUUUAAUUUUUGUAAAUACAGAUAAAUUUAAACAAUAAAAUCAUUAAUUUAAAAGUAAAGUGUUGUUCUUCCAUAGAAAUACUGUAAUACCUACGAGGCUAAUAAUAUCGAUGU
This is a long non-coding RNA of Hylaeus volcanicus, 1135 nucleotides long. RefSeq lists it as uncharacterized. Lineage: Eukaryota; Metazoa; Arthropoda; Insecta; Hymenoptera; Colletidae. The transcript has 3 exons. The record is from RefSeq and is a predicted model, not a curated record.